Molecule: unclassified non-coding RNA, 219 nt
Filed under: rhizosphere metagenome
Description: partial ribosomal RNA internal transcribed spacer region
Source: RNAcentral
GUAGGUGAACCUGCGGAAGGAUCAUUAAUGGGAGGGGCUUUCGGGCCCCGGGGACUCCGGUCCCCCCUCUUCACCCCAUGUUUACCUACCUUCGUUGCCUUGACGGGCCGGGGAUUACCCAUCCCGCGCCCGUCAGAGGCCCCUUCAACUUCGUCCAUCAGUGCCGUCCGAGUAGUACCACAAUCGUGAAAACUUUCAACAACGGAUCUCUUGGUUCUG